Molecule: long non-coding RNA, 2823 nt
Organism: Hydra vulgaris (swiftwater hydra)
Lineage: Eukaryota; Metazoa; Cnidaria; Hydrozoa; Anthoathecata; Hydridae
Source: RefSeq, a predicted model, not a curated record
UUAUUUAAUCAUAAUAUUUUAAAAAGGCAUGCAAAAAUAUUCCCUUAGUCGGAAAAUUAGACCCUUUUAGACUAGUUAGUCGGCAAAUGUCGACCCUUUUGUUAUAGGUUAGUCGGUAAUCUAGACAGUCGGCAAAUGUCGCAAUGGCAGUCGGCAAAUUUUGGAAAAAGAGGACCUUUUUUUUUUUUUUUAUCUUUUGUUGGCAAAAUGUAAUGGCGGCACCACCCCCCCCCCCCUCACGUGACACCUACUCGCGCCGGCCUUGAUUAUUCCAUCAAAUGGGAGACUAAUUUCAAUGCUCAAAACUCUGAAGCGAUCAGUCGUGUUUUGUUGUGUGGAUAAAUUUAAGAAGUUGUAAACCUUUAAAUUUAUCUUAUUGAUUAUUUAUUAUAUAAUUAAAUUAAUUAAAAUGAGUAAAUCAGUUGAAUAUGUCUCCAUUGUAAUGAUGAGGGAACUUCUUAAUGUUCAAAAAGAAACCAUAAUGUCGUUUUUCUAAGAAACAGUUAAAGACUUUAAUCUAAAAGUUGAAGCUCUGCAACAAAAUAUUAACGGCUUAAGUCAUGAACUUCGUGAAAUAAAAACUGGUAUGAAUUUUGUUGGUGACCUGUGUGAAGAAAAAAUGAAGAUGCACGAAGAAAAAGUUAAACAAGAAGAUAGAACUACCAGCUAAAUGGAAGCGGAAGACAUCAAUGAUGUUAGAUGAACAUACAGUUGACGAACGUGACGAAUCUAAAGCUUUGGAACACUACAGAAUUCACACUUACAAUGCGGUGAUAGAUCAGGUAGUUCAAAGUCUUGAGUCACGUUUCACUUCACAUCGACAAUUAUAUAUGUAAAUGGCAUGUUUUGAUACUUCAAACUUUGGUGAUAUUGCCAUUUCGGGAAUUCCUGAAAACAGUUUUUACAGCAUUUUCAAAUUUUUACCAGAUGCCGACGUUGAUGAAAUAAAGACCUAACUGUUGUCAUUCGAUACUAACUAUGAGAUUUUGAAAUUGUCUUUACCCUUAACGACAACAUUGCGAGAGACUGCAGAUCAAAAGGGUGACGUAGAAGAACAGCGCUGUUUUCAGCAUACUAAUGGAGCAUGUGAAUUGUGUCCAUCUUGUGUGUUACGAAUUUUUGCUGCAUAUAGACUCAACGAUAAAACCUAUCUUCGUCCUCUGAAUCGAGCAAACUGUUUAAAGAAUAGUUAUUGCUAUACUUUACGCGUCACUUGUACUUUUUUAAUUCAAUAUAAUUUUAUUUAUCUGUGAUUUAGCUGCUCCUUUUAAGACUUAUUUUUAGAAAGUUGCAGACCGGGGAGUCUUUGCGAUAUAUGUAUGGUCGAGAGGGCCCUUGAUUAUUUUCCACUGAUCUCAAAAUAAUAACUAUUUAUUUUGAGUUAUUAUUUUGAGAUCAGUGUUAUUUUCAUGGCCGGUAGUAUAUAUACAUUCAGUCCGCCACUGCUGGACAUGGAUAAAGAUGGGCCUGUAUAUGUUAAAUGGUAAAGAUGGGCCUGUAUGUUAUCCUUAUUACUUUUAUUUUUAUCUUUUUUGUUUGUUUGUUGCGGUCGCUCUCCGAGAUUUAGCUCUGCUAUAAGAGAGUGAACCAUCCAGAAUAUUGAGUUUAAUCUAUUUAAUUUUUUUAUAUUUCCAUAUUUCUGGUAAAUAUACUGUUGUUGUUGUUGUUUUUGUUAUAAAUUAUAAGAAGUUAUAAAUUAUGAGAAAUUAUUCACGGAGAUUUGGUUUUAAUUUAUAAUAUAAAUUACAAUUCAUUAAAUUAAUUUACAAUUAAUAUUAAAUUUACAAUUAAUAGCAAUAAUGUUUAGACCUGGUAGUAAUUUUCUAUACGUGCCACCACUCGAAAUAAUGAAAAAAGUUUUUCGUAGCAGAGGGUAGUUUCGAUCUACCGACCUCUGGGUUAUGGGCCCAGCACGCUUCCUCUGCGCCACUCUGCUGAUUAAUUCAAGGAAUAAAAUAAAUUCAUAUACAAAAAUAAAUGCUAGUCUACUGUAUAUUUUUUAUGUCAGAUUCUGUUUAUAUUUAUGUCAGAAAGUAUUGAAGUAUUAACUUUUGAUUAAUAUGCGUAAAAAAAUAUCAAACUUUUUGACAGCUAUAAUUUAUCUAAGGCACAAUUAGUUUCUAAAAUUUAAUAUUUGAAAUUUCAACAAUCUUGUUGAUAUAAAUGGUUAAUUUCUGUUACGGUGCUACUUAUUCAUUUUUUGAAGAAGUAGAAGAAGCUUUUCUAAAGUUUGCAAAGAUAACUUCGAAUUAAUCGGCAUACAAGAAGAACAGUAUGAAUCAAACAUGUUUUGAUCAUGUUUAACAUAAUCGCCUAUUUUAGAGUUGGUGGUGGGCCUAUGGUAAAGAUUUAACACAUCCUACUUGCUGAAACAAUAACCUGCAAGCAAAGUGUGCGUGGGGAAAAUCUCCAAAAAUUAAUGAAUAUUCCCUCCGUGUAUUAAGCACCUACGAAUAUGUUUGCAAGUAUUAUGGUGUUGGUAUAAAUAGCUUAGCAACUCAAAGAAAUUUUAAAAGAGCCAGCUCAAAGGAAUUUUAAAAAAGCUCUACACUUAAAAAAAUGUCUUGUUCCAGCAAUAAAGUCGUAUAUGAAAGAUUUAAAAAGCUUCAUCAACUCACAACAACAGACUCUAGAUUCCAAUAUUAGACUAAAUUUAGACCUAAAAGGUUGUGACAAAACCCUGAAGGUUUAAUCAAAAAAAAAUGUGUUUUGAGUUUAUAUUGAAAAUAUGUUACUAUUGAAAAAGUUUAAUAAAUUGCAUUUGCAUGCAUUUACUUGUAUAUUCUAGUUCAAAAAAGUUUAUUAUAUAUUAGUUAGAUUACU